Molecule: transfer RNA, 75 nt
Filed under: Lysinibacillus sphaericus CBAM5
Lineage: Bacteria; Bacillati; Bacillota; Bacilli; Caryophanales; Bacillaceae
Description: tRNA-Gly
Rfam family: tRNA
About the family: Transfer RNA (tRNA) molecules are approximately 80 nucleotides in length. Their secondary structure includes four short double-helical elements and three loops (D, anti-codon, and T loops).
Source: RNAcentral
UUGGAAGUAGUUCAGUGGUAGAACACCACCUUGCCAAGGUGGGGGUCGCGAGUUCGAACCUCGUCUUCCGCUCCA